GUGGGGAAUCUUAGACAAUGGGGGAAACCCUGAUCUAGCCAUGCCGCGUGAGCGAUGAAGGCCUUAGGGUUGUAAAGCUCUUUCAGCUGGGAAGAUAAUGACUGUACCAGCAGAAGAAGCCCCGGCUAACUCCGUGCCAGCAGCCGCGGUAAUACGGAGGGGGCUAGCGUUGUUCGGAAUUACUGGGCGUAAAGCGCACGUAGGCGGACCGGAAAGUCAGAGGUGAAAUCCCAGGGCUCAACCUUGGAACUGCCUUUGAAACUCCUGGUCUUGAGGUCGAGAGAGGUGAGUGGAAUUCCGAGUGUAGAGGUGAAAUUCGUAGAUAUUCGGAGGAACACCAGUGGCGAAGGCGGCUCACUGGCUCGAUACUGACGCUGAGGUGCGAAAGCGUGGGGAGCAAACAGGAUUAGAAACCCCUGUAGUCC
This 425-nucleotide ribosomal RNA is filed under the name uncultured bacterium. RNAcentral describes it as "bacterial SSU rRNA". It matches the Rfam family "Bacterial small subunit ribosomal RNA", at positions 354 to 796 of the family's 1533-position model. The record is from RNAcentral.